AUUGAACGCUGGCGGCAGGCCUAACACAUGCCAGUCGAGCGGAUGAAGGGAGCUUGCUCCUGGAUUCAGCGGCGGACGGGUGAGUAAUGCCUAGGAAUCUGCCUGGUAGUGGGGGAUAACGUCCGGAAACGGGCGCUAAUACCGCAUACGUCCUGAGGGAGAAAGUGGGGGAUCUUCGGACCUCACGCUAUCAGAUGAGCCUAGGUCGGAUUAGCUAGUUGGUGGGGUAAAGGCCUACCAAGGCGACGAUCCGUAACUGGUCUGAGAGGAUGAUCAGUCACACUGGAACUGAAACACGGUCCAGACUCCUACGGGAGGCAGCAGUGGGGAAUAUUGGACAAUGGGCGAAAGCCUGAUCCAGCCAUGCCGCGUGUGUGAAGAAGGUCCUCGGAUUGUAAAGCACUUUAAGUUGGGAGGAAGGGCAGUAAGUUAAUACCUUGCUGUUUUGACGUUACCAACAGAAUAAGCACCGGCUAACUUCGUG
This 484-nucleotide ribosomal RNA is filed under the name uncultured bacterium. RNAcentral describes it as "partial 16S ribosomal RNA". It matches the Rfam family "Bacterial small subunit ribosomal RNA", at positions 30 to 507 of the family's 1533-position model. The record is from RNAcentral.